GUUGAGAAUGACGAGAAUGCCAAUGCUUUUAGUUCCUACGGAAAUUAUUGGUUUGGUUGGGAACUGGUGGGAUGAGAUCAAUGAGUCGACUCGGUGGCAGGAUGGGAUCUUCUAUGCUCUCUGUGCUGCUUAUGCCCUUGUCUCCUCUGUUGCUCUGAUUCAAUUAAUAAGGAUUGAAUUGAGAGUGCCUGAAUAUGGUUGGACAACGCAGAAAGUUUUCCACCUUAUGAACUUCAUUGUGAAUGGAGU
RNAcentral lists this unclassified non-coding RNA (249 nucleotides) under Hevea brasiliensis (rubber tree). The record is from RNAcentral. Lineage: Eukaryota; Viridiplantae; Streptophyta; Magnoliopsida; Malpighiales; Euphorbiaceae.